Molecule: ribosomal RNA, 484 nt
Filed under: uncultured bacterium
Lineage: Bacteria
Description: partial 16S ribosomal RNA
Rfam family: Bacterial small subunit ribosomal RNA
Source: RNAcentral
AUUGAACGCUGGCGGCAGGCCUAACACAUGCAAGUCGAGCGGAUGAAGGGAGCUUGCUCCUGGAUUCCGCGGCGGACGGGUGAGUAAUGCCUAGGAAUCUGCCUGGUAGUGGGGGAUAACGUCCGGAAACGGGCGCUAAUACCGCAUACGUCCUGAGGGAGAAAGUGGGGGGUCUUCGGACCUCACGCUCUCAGAUGAGCCUAGGUCGGAUUAGCUAGUUGGUGGGGUAAAGGCCUACUAAGGCGACGAUCCGUAACUGGUCUGAGAGGAUGAUCAGUCACACUGGAGCGGGGACACGGUCAAGACUCCUACGAGAGGGACCAGUGGGGAAUAUUAGACAGUGGGCGAGAACAUGAUCCAACCAUGCCGCGUGUGUGAAGGAGGUCUUCGGAUUGUAAAGCACUUUAAGUUGGGAGGAAGGGCAGUAAGUUAAGACCUUGCUGUUUUGACGUUACCAACAGAAUAAGCACCGGCUAACUACGUG